GGUGGCGAGCGGCGGACGGGUGAGUAAUGCCUAGGAAUCUGCCUGGUAGUGGGGGAUAACGCUCGGAAACGGACGCUAAUACCGCAUACGUCCUACGGGAGAAAGCAGGGGACCUUCGGGCCUUGCGCUAUCAGAUGAGCCUAGGUCGGAUUAGCUAGUUGGUGAGGUAAUGGCUCACCAAGGCGACGAUCCGUAACUGGUCUGAGAGGAUGAUCAGUCACACUGGAACUGAGACACGGUCCAGACUCCUACGGGAGGCAGCAGUGGGGAAUAUUGGACAAUGGGCGAAAGCCUGAUCCAGCCAUGCCGCGUGUGUGAAGAAGGUCUUCGGAUUGUAAAGCACUUUAAGUUGGGAGGAAGGGCAGUUACCUAAUACGUAAUUGUUUUGACGUUACCGACAGAAUAAGCACCGGCUAACUCUGUGCCAGCAGCCGCGGUAAUACAGAGGGUGCAAGCGUUAAUCGGAAUUACUGGGCGUAAAGCGCGCGUAGGUGGUUCGUUAAGUUGGAUGUGAAAUCCCCGGGCUCAACCUGGGAACUGCAUUCAAAACUGACGAGCUAGAGUAUGGUAGAGGGUGGUGGAAUUUCCUGUGUAGCGGUGAAAUGCGUAGAUAUUAGGAGGAACACCAGUGGCGAAGGCGGCUUUCUGGACAGUAACUGACGCUGAGGCGCGAAAGCGUGGGGAGCAAACAGGAUUAGAUACCCUGGUAGUCCACGCUGUAAACGAUGG
Molecule: ribosomal RNA, 729 nt
Filed under: uncultured Pseudomonas sp.
Lineage: Bacteria; Pseudomonadati; Pseudomonadota; Gammaproteobacteria; Pseudomonadales; Pseudomonadaceae
Description: bacterial SSU rRNA
Rfam family: Bacterial small subunit ribosomal RNA
Source: RNAcentral